AUCAUUCAAAAGUCAGUUCAGAGAUUAGCCCAGAGGACCAGCUGUGGAGCUUCUCAGCAAAAGAUUCAUUGUUUCUUGACAUCUUCACCAAUUUCAGAAGAGAGUUUCAGGUCCUAUUGGACCUGAGGGAGCAGUACUCAAAGGCCUUUGAUCAGCAGAGGUGUCUCUUCCAUGAUCUUAAGGGAGUCAAGAUGGCAGCUUAG
RNAcentral lists this long non-coding RNA (203 nucleotides) under Monodelphis domestica (gray short-tailed opossum). RNAcentral's name for it is "lncRNA (ENSMODG00000044420.1)". Lineage: Eukaryota; Metazoa; Chordata; Mammalia; Didelphimorphia; Didelphidae. The record is from RNAcentral.